Long non-coding RNA from Mustela erminea (ermine), 478 nucleotides. RefSeq lists it as uncharacterized. Lineage: Eukaryota; Metazoa; Chordata; Mammalia; Carnivora; Mustelidae. The transcript is spliced from 3 exons. The record is from RefSeq and is a predicted model, not a curated record.
AUCUCCCACACUGGAUUCCACCUGAUAACUCACAUCUGGAAGCACCAAAUCUAGAGGACAAGAUAUUACACGAGUUGACAGAUUAAGGUACGACAGCAACCUUCUGAACAAGUCAUUACAAGACGGAGGCCUACUGACUAUCUCUAGAGGACCAGGAAGAGAGAAGGCAGUAGAAGAAAUGAGAGGAAAACCAGCAUUAACAGGGUACACAUGAAGAAUUAAGUGUGAAGAUUAAAAUCCUCUCCCGUAGGCACAAUGAAAAGUCCCAGCAGAACAAGGCAAGACAGUACCCCUAAAUGAAGUCGCUGUCACAAAUCCAAGAUAUUUACACAGGAGCUAAGGCCAACAUAUUCACUUUUUAGAGCCAGGGGAGCUUUGAGGUACUGCGAACUUAGUAAGAGUGGAGUGUCUGAAGAGUCAAAAUGUGUGACUAUCUUUUCAUUGGGUUGUUGAAACCAUUUACAUUUAAUAUAAGUAC